Cavia aperea (Brazilian guinea pig) is the source of this 69-nucleotide unclassified non-coding RNA. The record is from Ensembl. NCBI's taxonomy places the organism in Eukaryota, Metazoa, Chordata, Mammalia, Rodentia, Caviidae.
GAGAUAGAUGUGCGUGGCUAGCUCGCUGGUCUUGUUAACAAGCUUCAUCAUAAAGAUGGAGAUGAUAAG